Molecule: ribosomal RNA, 468 nt
Filed under: uncultured bacterium
Lineage: Bacteria
Description: partial 16S ribosomal RNA
Rfam family: Bacterial small subunit ribosomal RNA
Source: RNAcentral
GACGAACGCUGGCGGCGUGCUUAACACAUGCAAGUCGAACGGAAAGGCCCUGCUCUUGUGGGGUGCUCGAGUGGCGAACGCGUGUGUAACACGCGAGUAACCCGCCCCUGACUUUGUGAUAACUCCACGAAACUGCGGCUAAUACCGCAUAGGAGCUCUUGCUGCACGGUGGGGGUUGGAGAGUUUCGGUGGUUGGGGAUGGUCUCGCGGCUUAUCAGCUUGUUGGUGGGGUAGUGGCUUACCAAGCCUUUGACGGGUAGCCGGCCUGGGAGGGUGACCGGCGACAUUGGGACUGAGAGACGGACCAGACUGCUACGGGAGGCAGCAGUGGGAAGUAUGGCGCAAUGGGCGGAAGCCUGAUGCGGCAACGCCGCGUGCGGGAUGACGGCCUUCGGGGUAUAAACCGCUUUCGCCGGUAACGAAGCGUGAGUGACGGUAAUGGGUAAAGAAGCACCGGCUAACUACGUG